UACAGAGGUGGCAAGCGUUGUUCGGAAUUACUGGGCGUAAAGGGCGCGUAGGCGGUCUUCUAAGUCUUGUGUGAAAUCCCUCGGCUUAACUGAGGAACUGCACGGGAUACUGGAAGACUUGAGUUCGGGAGAGGGAAGCGGAAUUCCGGGUGUGCGGUGAAAUGCGUAGAUAUCCGGAGGAACACCGGUGGCGAAGGCGGC
Molecule: ribosomal RNA, 201 nt
Filed under: uncultured bacterium
Lineage: Bacteria
Description: partial 16S ribosomal RNA
Rfam family: Bacterial small subunit ribosomal RNA
Source: RNAcentral